Molecule: ribosomal RNA, 399 nt
Filed under: Triticum aestivum (bread wheat)
Lineage: Eukaryota; Viridiplantae; Streptophyta; Magnoliopsida; Poales; Poaceae
Description: partial small subunit ribosomal RNA
Source: RNAcentral
AUGGAAAUACUUACAAAAAAAAUUCUUCACACUAUUCUCCUCCCUCUGCCUCUGUUCCUUUUUCGCUGUGAACCAGUGAUAGGAAGAGGAGGAGAGCUAGGCAAUGCUUCACUCCGGGAAUAAUACCCAGCUCUGUAUAAUAUUGUGCGUCACAAGGGUGAUACUAUCGCCGCGGUUAUGGAAUCAUUUCCGCCAAACGUGUCGUUCAGAAGAGAUUUAAUUGGACCCAGACUCCAAUCGUGGAACAUCCUGCUCCAGCGGUUAUCCACGGUGCAAUUGUCACAAGGGUCCGAUGAAUUUCGCUGGAACCUACAAGGGAAUGGUCAAUUCUUAGUGGAGUCCAUGUACAGAGCCUUGCUCCAAUCCGAUGUGCCAGUUGAUAAUAAUAAAAAGAUCUGA